AUACGGAGGGGGUUAGCGUUUUUCGGAAUUACUGGGCGUAAAGCGCGCGUAGGCGGCUUUGUAAGUCGGAUGUGAAAGCCCAGGGCUCAACCCUGGAAUUGUAUUCGAUACUGCAUGGCUAGAGUAUGGUAGAGGGAAGUGGAAUUUCCGGUGUAGCGGUGAAAUGCGUAGAUAUCGGAAGGAACACCAGUGGCGAAGGCGACUUCCUGGGCCAAUACUGACGCUGAGGUGCGAAAGCGUGGGGAGCAAACAGGAUUAGAUACCCCAGUAGUCC
Molecule: ribosomal RNA, 274 nt
Filed under: uncultured bacterium
Lineage: Bacteria
Description: partial 16S ribosomal RNA
Rfam family: Bacterial small subunit ribosomal RNA
Source: RNAcentral